RNAcentral lists this ribosomal RNA (956 nucleotides) under human gut metagenome. RNAcentral's name for it is "bacterial LSU rRNA". It matches the Rfam family "Bacterial large subunit ribosomal RNA", at positions 1950 to 2925 of the family's 2925-position model. The record is from RNAcentral.
CCUAAGGUAGCGAAAUUCCUUGUCGGGUAAGUUCCGACCUGCACGAAUGGUGUAACGAUCUGGGCACUGUCUCAGCCAUGAGCUCGGUGAAAUUGUAGAAGCGGUGAAGAUGCCGCUUACCCGCAAUGGGACGAAAAGACCCCGUGAACCUUCACUACAGCUUAGCAUUGACGUUGGGCAGACGAUGUGUAGGAUAGGUGGGAGACUGGGAAGUGUACACGCCAGUGUAUAUGGAGUCGACGUUGAAAUACCACCCUUUGUGUGUCUGGCGUCUAAUCCCCGGGUAAGGGGAGACAAUGCUUGGUGGGUAGUUUGACUGGGGUGGUCGCCUCCAAAAGAGUAACGGAGGCUUCCAAAGGUACCCUCAGUACGGUUGGCAACCGUGCGAAGAGUGCAAUGGCACAAGGGUGCUUGACUGUGAGACAGACGAGUCGAGCAGGUACGAAAGUAGGGCAUAGUGAUCCGGUGGUUCCGAAUGGAAGGGCCAUCGCUCAAAGGAUAAAAGGUACUCCGGGGAUAACAGGCUGAUCACUCCCAAGAGCUCAUAUCGACGGAGUGGUUUGGCACCUCGAUGUCGGCCCGUCACAUCCUGGGGCUGGAGAAGGUCCCAAGGGUUCGGCUGUUCGCCGAUUAAAGUGGCACGCGAGCUGGGUUCAGAACGUCGCGAGACAGUUCGGUCUCUAUCUAUUGUGGGCGCAGGAAGCUUGAGAGGAGCUGUUCUUAGUACGAGAGGACCGGGACGGACGAGCCUACUGUGAGCCGGUUGUGGCGCCAGCCGCACUGCCGGGUAGCAGCGCUCGGAGGGGAUAAGUGCUGAAAGCAUCUAAGCACGAAGCCUACCUCAAGAUGAGGCUUUCUUGAAGGGUCGUGGGAGACUACCACGUUGAUAGGCUGCAGGUGUAAGUACAGUGAUGUAUUGAGCCGAGCAGUACUAAUAGCCCGAAAGGCUUUAUUGA